Molecule: long non-coding RNA, 657 nt
Organism: Mesocricetus auratus (golden hamster)
Lineage: Eukaryota; Metazoa; Chordata; Mammalia; Rodentia; Cricetidae
Exons: 3
Source: RefSeq, a predicted model, not a curated record
UCUAUGAUUUUGUUACAGGGCUAGGGUUCUCUCAUGGAAUCUGGUGUUGAAGUAUUGUUUCUUUAGGGCUGAGUGUGAACCAGUGCUAAAGCCCUUGCUUUGGACAUAAAAGGAGACUGACACCAGGAUGGCUUUAGUGGAUUCCCUUUGCCUUCUGGUGCUGGUUGGCUUCGACCAAUGAGAGAGCAAGCCUGAGGAACCGAGGUGGAAGAACACGAAAAGACGGUGCUUAGUUUUCCAGGUUCCUCUGGGGAGGGACAACCUAGUGGAGCAGGUUGCUCUUCAGUAGUCCACAUGUUAUACCAGCUGCCAUCACCCUAAAGCUCCACAGGACAUGGAUCCAUUUCCAAGCACCCAUGUGAUGUUUUACAACUGUCUAAACGCUAGUUCCAGAAGAUUCAAAGCUUCCUCUGGCCUCCAUGGGUAUGACAUGAAAAUGGUGCAUAAACAUACAUAUAGGCAAAAGUACCUGUAAACAUAAAAUAAAGAUGAAUAAGCCUUUAAAAUAUUUUAAGAUGUGAAGUUGUAUACUUUGGCCAGAAAAGAAACAUGUUUGAAGUUGCAAAAAAGAAGAAGAAGAAGAAGUCACAAUUGUUAAAGAAACCAGCACCUUGAAAAACAAAAAGAGCGCCCGACGGUGGUGGCACACGCCUUUAA